CAAUAGCGUAUAUUAAAGUUGUUGCGGUUAAAAAGCUCGUAGUUGGAUUUCUGCCGAGGACGACCGGUCCGCCCUCUGGGUGAGUAUCUGGCUCGGCCUGGGCAUCUUCUUGGAGAACGUAUCUGCACUUGACUGUGUGGUGCGGUAUCCAGGACUUUUACUUUGAGGAAAUUAGAGUGUUUCAAGCAGGCAUACGCCUUGAAUACAUUAGCAUGGAAUAAUAAGAUAGGACCUCGGUUCUAUUUUGUUGGUUCUAGAGCUGAGGUAAUGAUUAAUAGGGAUAGUUGGGGGCAUUCGUUAUUAACUGUCAGAAUGGUGUAAAUUCGUUGGAUUUGUUAAAAGACGGACUACUGCGAAAGCAUUUGCCAAGGAUGUUUUCAUUGAUCAAGAACGAAAGUUAGGGGAUCGAAGAUGAUUAGA
Molecule: ribosomal RNA, 420 nt
Filed under: uncultured eukaryote
Lineage: Eukaryota
Description: SSU rRNA
Rfam family: Eukaryotic small subunit ribosomal RNA
Source: RNAcentral